AUUGAACGCUGGCGGCGUGCCUAACACAUGCAAGUCGAGCGGUAACAGGUGUAGCAAUACAUGCUGACGAGCGGCGAACGGGUGAGUAAUGCUUCGGAAUCUGCCUAUUAGUGGGGGACAACCCGGGGAAACUCGGGCUAAUACCGCAUACGCUCUACGGAGGAAAGCCGGGGACCGCAAGGCCUGGCGCUAAUAGAUGAGCCCAAGUCGGAUUAGCUAGUUGGUAGGGUAACGGCCUACCAAGGCGACAAUCCGUAGCUGGUCUGAGAGGACGACCAGCCACACCGGAACUGAGACACGGUCCGGACUCCUACGGGAGGCAGCAGUGGGGAAUAUUGGACAAUGGGGGCAACCCUGAUCCAGCGACGCCGCGUGGGUGAAGAAGGCCUGCGGGUUGUAAAGCCCUUUCGGUGGGGAAGAAAAGUCUCGACCCUAAUACGUCGGGACCUUGACGUAACCACUAAAGAAGCACCGGCUAACUCUGUGCCAGCAGCCGCCGCGGUAAG
RNAcentral lists this ribosomal RNA (506 nucleotides) under uncultured bacterium. RNAcentral's name for it is "bacterial SSU rRNA". It matches the Rfam family "Bacterial small subunit ribosomal RNA", at positions 29 to 524 of the family's 1533-position model. The record is from RNAcentral.